This 504-nucleotide long non-coding RNA is filed under the name Mytilus galloprovincialis (Mediterranean mussel). The record is from RNAcentral. Lineage: Eukaryota; Metazoa; Mollusca; Bivalvia; Mytilida; Mytilidae.
GAAAUAUGUCGCUUAGAUAUUUCUCAUAUGGUAUUGUAUAAUUAAGGCGCUUUUACAUUUCACCCUGCUAAGGCGAACCAUUUUCUUUGUAAGAGUUAUCUCCCUAUUCACUGUUUACCAUCAGAGUGCAUCUCCUUCGUAACAAAAAAAAGAUAGCGACAAAAUUCUUUUUACAAAUUGUUUGUUACAUCCUCAAGAAAUUUUGGCUAAUUUGGAUAGAAGCGAUUGGAUGAAAUUUUAUAGGAGUUAUCUACCUUUACGGAAGAAAUUUGUCGGUAUGUUUUUUUAACUCAUAAACCGUUAACCGUAUAACCCUGGAAUGUUUUUAUUUGAGUCCCCUGGGUCCUAACUUAGAAAAUGAGGUCAAGGUCAAAGGUUAAGGUCAAGUUCUCAAUGUUGACUUUUCCUUUUUUUGGUAUUUUCUCCAACACCUUUAAAGAUAUGCAUAAAAGAAGAAGUGCAAAAUGUUUGCUUAAUUGUAAUGUAGAUUUGUUACGUUUGGUC